Molecule: ribosomal RNA, 460 nt
Filed under: uncultured bacterium
Lineage: Bacteria
Description: partial 16S ribosomal RNA
Rfam family: Bacterial small subunit ribosomal RNA
Source: RNAcentral
CCUACGGGAGGCAGCAGUGAGGAAUAUUGGUCAAUGGGCGAGAGCCUGAACCAGCCAAGUCGCGUGAAGGAUGACGGCCCUACGGGUUGUAAACUUCUUUUGUCAGGGAGCAAUUGGGUCCACGCGUGGGCUUAGCGAGAGUCACUGAAGAAAAAGCAUCGGCUACCCCGGUGCCAGCAGCCGCGGUAAUACGGGGGAUGCGAGCGUUAUCCGGUUUUAUUGGGUUUAAAGGGUGCGUGGGCGGAAUGUAAAAUCAGCGGUAAAAAUUCGGGGCUCAACCCCGUCGUGCCGUUGAAACUGGUGUUCUUGAGUGGGCGAGAAGUAGGCGGAAGGCGUGGUGUAGCGGUGAAAUGCAUAGAUAUCACGCAGAACUCCGAUUGCGAAGGCAGCAUACCGGCUCCCAACUGACGCUGAAGCACGAAAGCGUGGGUAUCGAACAGGAUUAGAUACCCUGGUAGUC